This 497-nucleotide ribosomal RNA is filed under the name uncultured bacterium. RNAcentral describes it as "partial 16S ribosomal RNA". It matches the Rfam family "Bacterial small subunit ribosomal RNA", at positions 28 to 507 of the family's 1533-position model. The record is from RNAcentral.
GAUGAACGCUGGCGGCGUGCCUAAUACAUGCAAGUCGAGCGAACGGACGAGAAGCUUGCUUCUCUGAUGUUAGCGGCGGACGGGUGAGUAACACGUGGAUAACCUACCUAUAAGACUGGGAUAACUUCGUGAAACCGGAGCUAAUACCGGAUAAUAUUUUGAACCGCAUGGUUCAAAAGUGAAAGACGGUCUUGCUGUCACUUAUAGAUGGAUCCGCGCUGCAUUAGCUAGUUGGUAAGGUAACGGCUUACCAAGGCAACGAUGCAUAGCCGACCUGAGAGGGUGAACGGCCACACUGGGACUGAGACACGGUCCAGACUCCUACAGGAGGCAGAAGUAGGGAAGCUACAGCAAUGGGCGAAAGACUGAAGAAGCAACGCCGCGUGAGUGAAGAAGGUCUUCGGAUAGUAAAACUCUGUUAUUAGGGAAGAACAUAUGUGUAAGUAACUGUGCACAUCGUGACGGUACCUAAUCAGAAAGCAACGGCUAACUACGUG